Molecule: ribosomal RNA, 492 nt
Filed under: uncultured bacterium
Lineage: Bacteria
Description: partial 16S ribosomal RNA
Rfam family: Bacterial small subunit ribosomal RNA
Source: RNAcentral
AGUGAACGCUGGCGGUAGGCCUAACACAUGCAAGUCGAACGGCAGCACAGUAAGAGCUUGCUCUUACGGGUGGCGAGUGGCGGACGGGUGAGGAAUACAUCGGAAUCUACUUUUUCGUGGGGGAUAACGUAGGGAAACUUACGCUAAUACCGCAUACGACCUACGGGUGAAAGCAGGGGAACAUCGGACCUUGCGCGAUUGAAUGAGCCGAUGUCGGAUUAGCUAGUUGGCGGGGUAAAGGCCCACCAUGGCGACGAUCCGUAGCUGGGCUGAGAGGAUGAUCAGCCACACUGGAACUGAGACACGGUCAAGACUCCUACGGGAGGCAGCAGUGGGGAAUAUUGGACAAUGGGCGAAAGCCUGAUCCAGCCAUACCGCGUGAGUGAAGAAGGACUUCGGGUUGUAAAGCCCUUUUGUUGGGAAAGAAAAGCAGCAGGUUAAUACCCCGCUGUUCUGACGGUACCCAAAGAAUAAGCACCGGCUAACUUCGUG